Molecule: RNA transcript, 1786 nt
Organism: Papaver somniferum (opium poppy)
Lineage: Eukaryota; Viridiplantae; Streptophyta; Magnoliopsida; Ranunculales; Papaveraceae
Exons: 8
Source: RefSeq, a predicted model, not a curated record
ACUCCUAACAAUCUACUUACCAUUUCAAAAGUGCGGGCGAACAUUCCAAGACUUGCCACUUCAGAGAUUUUUUGGACCUUUAUCUUUCCUCAGUUUCUCUGCAAACAAAACCUAGAAAGUACCUCUGCAAUCAUCUUCUUCUCCGAGUUUACGAUGCUUCCAUUCGCGCCAAUUGCUUGAACUCAGAAGAUACGAUUCUUACUUUUUUCACCGAUUCCAAUUUCGACUCUGUAUUUCCUCAGUUAUCUCAGGCAGUUGGAUUUUGUUCUAGUAAAUGACUUUGAUACAUUUUGGCGGAUAUAGAGAAGGAGAUGAGCGUGGAUGAUACUGUAAAGGAACUGGGUUGUGGCUGCACACUCAACACUACCCACUGCAAAAGGCAUCUUAUCUCUUUUCUUACCUCUCACUGAGGUCACAAUAUUCAACUUUCUGUUCUGCUGUUGGUGGGAGGUCAUGCCAGGUGUUGGUUCUAUAAUGUCUACUACAGGUGGAUUUGGUAAAGUUGUAAUCGUGGCAUCAAUAUUGAGCGCAAAUUGUAGCAGGAUCCCUUCCCUCUUCAUGCCAUAUGAGGGGCUGCGUGGAGCAAUGCUGAAGGCAAGAUAUCUUUUCUAAGAUAUGCUGUGUCCGCGUCGCCUGAAAUUUUCACGUUUGUGCACUCCGCCAGACAGCUGGUGUACCCCGAUGCAACUCAUGGUCAUAAGCUCUCAACUGGAAUGAAAAUCAGUCUUGGUUUUGUCUUGACCUGUUGGAUGUUUUAUGCCAACUCGCUGAGAUGGGCCAUGCUGGCUCGGUCCGAGAUCAAUGCUCGGGGACCCACUGCAACACUUUCCUGAAGUCUAGCUGUGUGGAUUAUCCCAGACUAAUUGUUCUCAUUCCAACAAGUCAUGCAUUGCGGUUCAGCAUGUGUAUAUCUGAUUAUCUGUUACCUUCAGAUGUUUGUAUUUGGGCGAAGGCGCUCGGGCAGUUUGUGCUUGUUUGGUGGAGUGGCCUCAGUAUUGCAAUCAUAUCCUGCAAAUUUCUCAAUUUACGUGCAACCCAUUUACAUUCAUCGAGCGUGCUCUUGCCACGAUCUCAUCCAGGCACUCUGAAUCAAAUGGAGGCAUCAUUGACCCUAUGGAUCAGCACCAAGGACCAAAUCCGGUUCCCUUCAAAAACAUGGAGCUUCUUGAGAUUGCCGGAAUGCCUCUGCUGAUGUCCCUGCUUCUCCAAAAUAUAUAAUUAGCAAGGACGAGAAAGGGAAGCAGUCCAGAGACACAAAGGCUCCCUCUAUUUAUUCACCUGUAAGGGAUGAGGAACCUAUGGCAGCAGAUCCUCUUGGCUUCCAUGAGCAGAUUCUGACAGCAAUCACAAAUACCUUCCAGCAUUGUAGCCUCUUAAAGUACAUUGGUUUUGGUUACGAUUUCAUAACUAAUCUUUUUCCUUGAUCUUUAUUUGGUAUAUGGUCAUUUGACACAAAAUACUAAAUGGUCAAAUACCUUGAUAUUUCAAGCUCGUUCUACCUGAUUUUCACUGAUAUUUUUGCAUAAAUUGCUAGUUACAAGCCAAUUUGCUUAAUAGCUUUGCGUGGCUGGAGCUGGUGAGUCAGAGGAGUUUUAUACCAAGAUUGUUUUAUGGAAAUUCCCAGAAGACUUGACCUUAUGGAGACGUACUUGACAAAUGCUGAGAUUGGAGAACCUGUAAGCUUAUUUUUCUUGAAUCAUUCAGUAAGUUGCAUGCUUAUCUGUUCAGUUUGCGGGUGUAAAAUUAUCUACUAUUCCGGACCACAUGUGCAACGUUAUACCCAACA